AUUUAUAUAGUUUAGUAAAAAAACACUUCAUUUUCAAUGAAAUGACAGGAAUUUUCCUUAUAAAUA
RNAcentral lists this transfer RNA (66 nucleotides) under Mecomma ambulans. RNAcentral's name for it is "tRNA-Glu". It matches the Rfam family "tRNA". Rfam says of the family: Transfer RNA (tRNA) molecules are approximately 80 nucleotides in length. Their secondary structure includes four short double-helical elements and three loops (D, anti-codon, and T loops). Further hydrogen bonds mediate the characteristic L-shaped molecular structure. tRNAs have two regions of fundamental functional importance: the anti-codon, which is responsible for specific mRNA codon recognition, and the 3' end, to which the tRNAs corresponding amino acid is attached (by aminoacyl-tRNA synthetases). tRNAs cope with the degeneracy of the genetic code in two manners: having more than one tRNA (with a specific anti-codon) for a particular amino acid; and 'wobble' base-pairing, i.e. permitting non-standard base-pairing at the 3rd anti-codon position. The record is from RNAcentral. Lineage: Eukaryota; Metazoa; Arthropoda; Insecta; Hemiptera; Miridae.